RNAcentral lists this ribosomal RNA (292 nucleotides) under uncultured bacterium. RNAcentral describes it as "partial 16S ribosomal RNA". It matches the Rfam family "Bacterial small subunit ribosomal RNA", at positions 505 to 796 of the family's 1533-position model. The record is from RNAcentral.
GUGUCAGCAGCCGCGGUAAGACGAAGGAUCCAAGCGUUAUCCGGAUUCAUUGGGUUUAAAGGGAGCGUAGGCGGGUUUAUAAGUCAGUGGUGAAAGCCGAUCGCUUAACGAUCGAACUGCCAUUGAUACUGUAGACCUAGAGUACAGAUGAUGUUGGCGGAAUAUGACAUGUAGCGGUGAAAUGCAUAGAUAUGUCAUAGAACACCGAUUGCGAAGGCAGCUGACAAAACUGUAACUGACGCUGAGGCUCGAAAGUGCGGGGAUCAAACAGGAUUAGAUACCCUGGUAGUCC